RNAcentral lists this long non-coding RNA (983 nucleotides) under Homo sapiens (human). Its description in RNAcentral is "HSALNT0183025". The record is from RNAcentral. Lineage: Eukaryota; Metazoa; Chordata; Mammalia; Primates; Hominidae.
CCUGCCUCUCCUUGCAUAGAUGUCAGAAGUAACACUUCAGGCGGGGGCGUCUGAGGUUCGCGUGUGAGGGAAUCAGGUGCAUUGCACAGUCAUCUCCUGCUCAAGACAGAGGAGGGCGCUCAGGGGCCAAUCAAACGACUUCUAAACCGCGAAAACAGGCCUGGGGCAAAAGAGUCCGUAGAUACCGCAGUCAAGGGGCGAUUCACUCCAUUUACUGACACAAUAGACAUGGAGUGCCUCCCAUGGACACAGGGAAUGAAGGGAUAGACAGAUGUCCUAUCUUUGGGAAUGCUGGCCUUCCAAGGAGAGAGUUGUCCACUGGGGAAAACGCCUGGGCAAUUCCCUGCAGUGUGGCAGGUGUGAAGGUGGAGGAUGAAGCGAUUACAACCUGGGCGCAGUAUACUGGCUGGCUUUGCUGCUCACUCCCUUACGAAUAGCUGUGAUGGGAUAUGAAAUCCAAGGGAACUGUUAGCCCCCCAGAGCAGCUGCUCCCACCGACCCUGCUCCAAGAGUGCUGGGAUGUCCGCUGGCCUCGAGGCAAGACAAGAGCUCCAAUCACUCUGCUGCAAGCGCCACCAUUAAAGUCAAGAUCACUGUGGUGGGGGGAGUUGAAGUGUGCAUUCCAGCAUGCUCAUGAUCUUACUGACCUUCUCCACUGAUGAAUUAGAACACCCCUCUUCCCAGGCACAGGACGAGUUCAGUGCCUCUCUGUUUCUUGAUGGACCCCAAUAAAAAAACGCCUGCACUGUUUUUCACCUAAGGUCAUCUCGACAAUUUACAAGGAUAAGGAUUGUAGCUGCAAAAUAAUGCCUAUGCCCCUCUAGCCCCCUUAGCAUCCCCCAUCUAUAUCAAGACCAUAAAACCAGUGCUUUUGGCCCUCCUCCUCACUCCUCCAGUAUGGGCAAUUUUCUUUUCCUCAUCCAUGUUUCCAAAACAGUUUAUCUUUUUAUCUCCUUGGAAGAAAAGUACUCCACAAAUCAAAG